UCCUGAGGGGUUCACCAAGUAGCCAGAAGAGGAAGAAGUGGGAGUAUCAUUCCCAAUUCCACAAGGCUCUCAGGCAAGGGGCUGAGUCUGGUGGAAUUCACAUUCUCCUCUAAUUUGAAAAGACCUUUGUUGUCAUUUUGAGCUCUGUUCUGAAGGUCAUGGCGUUUGGUGGUAAAAGGUUUACUUCAAUCAUCACCUUGCGAUCAUCACCUUGAAUCAUCUAUAAUCAAAUGCUGAUAGAAACAACCACAAGAACAAAAACACUGCAAAAUAAGGUGGGAAAAACUGAAGCCAAAGGCAACUAUUUCCAAGGAAAUUAGCCAGCAUCAGAAAAUUCCUGGUGAGUAUUAUAAGAAGCUGUCGUGCAUUCACCAGCAGGAGCAGUGGAAGUGG
Lontra canadensis (Northern American river otter) is the source of this 393-nucleotide long non-coding RNA. RefSeq lists it as uncharacterized. The transcript has 3 exons. The record is from RefSeq and is a predicted model, not a curated record. Lineage: Eukaryota; Metazoa; Chordata; Mammalia; Carnivora; Mustelidae.